This 39-nucleotide non-coding RNA is filed under the name Mus musculus (house mouse). The record is from RNAcentral. Lineage: Eukaryota; Metazoa; Chordata; Mammalia; Rodentia; Muridae.
ACGGGAAACCUCACCCGGCCCGGACACGGACAGGAUUGA